RNAcentral lists this ribosomal RNA (1534 nucleotides) under Streptococcus pneumoniae. Its description in RNAcentral is "bacterial SSU rRNA". It matches the Rfam family "Bacterial small subunit ribosomal RNA". Lineage: Bacteria; Bacillati; Bacillota; Bacilli; Lactobacillales; Streptococcaceae. The record is from RNAcentral.
AGAGUUUGAUCCUGGCUCAGGACGAACGCUGGCGGCGUGCCUAAUACAUGCAAGUAGAACGCUGAAGGAGGAGCUUGCUUCUCUGGAUGAGUUGCGAACGGGUGAGUAACGCGUAGGUAACCUGCCUGGUAGCGGGGGAUAACUAUUGGAAACGAUAGCUAAUACCGCAUAAGAGUGGAUGUUGCAUGACAUUUGCUUAAAAGGUGCACUUGCAUCACUACCAGAUGGACCUGCGUUGUAUUAGCUAGUUGGUGGGGUAAGGGCUCACCAAGGCGACGAUACAUAGCCGACCUGAGAGGGUGAUCGGCCACACUGGGACUGAGACACGGCCCAGACUCCUACGGGAGGCAGCAGUAGGGAAUCUUCGGCAAUGGACGGAAGUCUGACCGAGCAACGCCGCGUGAGUGAAGAAGGUUUUCGGAUCGUAAAGCUCUGUUGUAAGAGAAGAACGAGUGUGAGAGUGGAAAGUUCACACUGUGACGGUAUCUUACCAGAAAGGGACGGCUAACUACGUGCCAGCAGCCGCGGUAAUACGUAGGUCCCGAGCGUUGUCCGGAUUUAUUGGGCGUAAAGCGAGCGCAGGCGGUUAGAUAAGUCUGAAGUUAAAGGCUGUGGCUUAACCAUAGUAGGCUUUGGAAACUGUUUAACUUGAGUGCAAGAGGGGAGAGUGGAAUUCCAUGUGUAGCGGUGAAAUGCGUAGAUAUAUGGAGGAACACCGGUGGCGAAAGCGGCUCUCUGGCUUGUAACUGACGCUGAGGCUCGAAAGCGUGGGGAGCAAACAGGAUUAGAUACCCUGGUAGUCCACGCUGUAAACGAUGAGUGCUAGGUGUUAGACCCUUUCCGGGGUUUAGUGCCGUAGCUAACGCAUUAAGCACUCCGCCUGGGGAGUACGACCGCAAGGUUGAAACUCAAAGGAAUUGACGGGGGCCCGCACAAGCGGUGGAGCAUGUGGUUUAAUUCGAAGCAACGCGAAGAACCUUACCAGGUCUUGACAUCCCUCUGACCGCUCUAGAGAUAGAGUUUUCCUUCGGGACAGAGGUGACAGGUGGUGCAUGGUUGUCGUCAGCUCGUGUCGUGAGAUGUUGGGAUAAGUCCCGCAACGAGCGCAACCCCUAUUGUUAGUUGCCAUCAUUUAGUUGGGCACUCUAGCGAGACUGCCGGUAAUAAACCGGAGGAAGGUGGGGAUGACGUCAAAUCAUCAUGCCCCUUAUGACCUGGGCUACACACGUGCUACAAUGGCUGGUACAACGAGUCGCAAGCCGGUGACGGCAAGCUAAUCUCUUAAAGCCAGUCUCAGUUCGGAUUGUAGGCUGCAACUCGCCUACAUGAAGUCGGAAUCGCUAGUAAUCGCGGAUCAGCACGCCGCGGUGAAUACGUUCCCGGGCCUUGUACACACCGCCCGUCACACCACGAGAGUUUGUAACACCCGAAGUCGGUGAGGUAACCGUAAGGAGCCAGCCGCCUAAGGUGGGAUAGAUGAUUGGGGUGAAGUCGUAACAAGGUAGCCGUAUCGGAAGGUGCGGCUGGAUCACCU